UGCGUAGGCGGAUUAAUAAGUCAGUGGUGAAAUCUUUCGGCUCAACCGAGAAACUGCCAUUGAUACUGUUAAUCUUGAGUUCGGUUGAGGUAGGCGGAAUGUGUAAUGUAGCGGUGAAAUGCUUAGAUAUUACACAGAACACCCAUUGCGUAGGCAGCUUACUAGACCGACACUGACGCUGAGGCACGAAAGCGUGGGGAGCGAACAGGAUUAGAUACCCUGGUAGUCC
Molecule: ribosomal RNA, 229 nt
Filed under: uncultured bacterium
Lineage: Bacteria
Description: partial 16S ribosomal RNA
Rfam family: Bacterial small subunit ribosomal RNA
Source: RNAcentral